GAUAUGGCUCAGGAUGAACGCUGGCGGCGUGCCUAAUACAUGCAAGUCGAACGAGGUAGCAAUACCGAGUGGCGAACGGGUGAGUAACACGUAGGUAACCUGCCUUACAGUUUGGGAUACCCUGGCGAAAGCUAGGCUAAUACCGAAUAAUUGGAUUGGAGGCAUCUCCGAUCUCUAAAAGGGGCCCUUAAAGCCUCGCUGAAUGAUGGACCUGCGGCGCAUUAGCUAGUUGGUGAGAUAAUAGCCCACCAAGGCGAGGAUGCGUAGCCGACCUGAGAGGGUGAACGGCCACACUGGAACUGAGACACGGUCCAGACUCCUACGGGAGGCAGCAGUAGGGAGUUUUCGGCAAUGGGGCAACCCUGACCGAGCAACGCCGCGUGAAUGAUGAAGGUCUUCGGAUUGUAAAGUUCUGUUAUAAGGGAAAAAUGAUAGGGUGAGGAAAUGCUCUCUAUUUGAUGGUACCUUAUUAGAAAGCCACGGCUAACUACGUGCCAGCCGCCGC
RNAcentral lists this ribosomal RNA (505 nucleotides) under uncultured bacterium. RNAcentral describes it as "bacterial SSU rRNA". It matches the Rfam family "Bacterial small subunit ribosomal RNA", at positions 15 to 518 of the family's 1533-position model. The record is from RNAcentral.